AGAGUUUGAUCAUGGCUCAGGAUAAACGCUGGCGGCGUGCCUAACACAUGCAAGUCGAACGAUCCCGCAAGGGAGAGUGGCGGAAGGGUGAGUAACACGUGGGAAUCUACCUCCUCGCAGGGAACAACCUCUCGAAAGAGAGGCUAAUACCCAAAAGGGUCAGAAAUGAUCAGAGUCGAAAGGCGUGAGGAGAGGAGCCCGCGGCCCAUCAGCUAGUUGGGUGAGGUAAUGGCUUACCAAGGCUACGACGGGUAGGGGAUCUGAGAGGAUGUCCCCCACACUGGAACUGAAACACGGUCCAGACGCCUACGGGUGGCAGCAGUGAGGAAUAUUGGACAAUGGGCGAAAGCCCGAUCCAGCAACGCCGCGUGGAGGAUGAAGGCCUUCGGGCCGUAAACUUCUUUAGAGGGAGACGAGAAAGGACGGUAUCCCUAGAAUAAGCGACGGCAAACUACGUG
This 458-nucleotide ribosomal RNA is filed under the name uncultured bacterium. RNAcentral's name for it is "bacterial SSU rRNA". It matches the Rfam family "Bacterial small subunit ribosomal RNA", at positions 8 to 507 of the family's 1533-position model. The record is from RNAcentral.